This 479-nucleotide long non-coding RNA is filed under the name Rattus norvegicus (Norway rat). RNAcentral describes it as "long non-coding RNA NONRATT021790". Lineage: Eukaryota; Metazoa; Chordata; Mammalia; Rodentia; Muridae. The record is from RNAcentral.
UCAGGACCUGCAGAGUCGCCAGAAGCAUGAAAUUGAAUCUUUGUAUACCAAACUGGGCAAGGUUCCCCCUGCUGUCAUUAUUCCCCCAGCUGCUCCUCUGUCAGGGAGAAGAAGGAGGCCUACUAAAAGCAAAGGCAGCAAGUCCAGUCGCAGCAGCUCAUUGGGCAACAAAAGCCCUCAGCUUUCAGGUAACCUGUCUGGUCAGAGUGGAACUUCAGUCUUAAACCCCCAACAGACCCUCCAUCCCCCAGGCAAUACCCCAGAGACUGGACACAACCAGCUGUUACAGCCUCUUAAGCCAUCUCCCUCCAGUGACAACCUCUAUUCAGCCUUUACCAGUGAUGGUGCCAUUUCAGUACCAAGCCUUUCUGCUCCAGGUCAAGGUAAGAAUUCAAAGUGACCACCAUCUUCCAGAAGCAUUAAAAUAGAAAUAUUGCCUUACUUGCUACAAAAGCAAGAUGGAUACCUUACUGCCAUCA